GGACUACAGGGGUUUCUAAUCCUGUUUGCUACCCACGCUUUCGUGCCUCAGCGUCAGUUAUGGUCCAGUAAGCUGUCUACACCACAGGUGUUCCUCCUGAUAUCUACGCAUUUCACCGCUACACCAGGAAUUCCGCUUACCUCUCCCACACUCAAGCCCUACAGUCUUCCGCGCACCCUCCCAGUUGAGCCGGGAGAUUUCACACGGAACUUAUAGGACCGCCUACGCACUCUUUACGCCCAGUAACUCCGAACAACGCUUGCUGCCUACGUAUUACCGCGGCUGCUGGCAC
This 292-nucleotide ribosomal RNA is filed under the name uncultured Acidobacteriota bacterium. RNAcentral's name for it is "uncultured Acidobacteria bacterium partial 16S ribosomal RNA". Lineage: Bacteria; Pseudomonadati; Acidobacteriota. The record is from RNAcentral.